GGAUGAUAGGAGGACGUAAAUGACAAGGAGAUCCCCAUCUCAGCACAAAAGCCCCUCCAAAACCAAGAGACAAAUUGAGGACCCCUGUCAGAUACGAUAUCCUGUGGUAUACCAUGCAAGCGGAACACCUCUUACUUGAGCCAACUGAACCGCAGAAGGUCACAUAUAAGUGGAAUAAAGUGUGCCAUUUUAGAGAACCUAUCGGUCACAGUCAAAAUUACUGUCUGUCCACCAGAUGAAGGAAGAUCUACAAUGAAGUCCAUGGAUAAGUGGGUCCAUGGUUUCCUGGGCACGGAUAGAGGCAUUA
Pelobates cultripes (western spadefoot toad) is the source of this 307-nucleotide non-coding RNA. The record is from the annotation of a GenBank genome assembly. Lineage: Eukaryota; Metazoa; Chordata; Amphibia; Anura; Pelobatidae.